RNAcentral lists this ribosomal RNA (1047 nucleotides) under Salmonella enterica subsp. enterica serovar Haifa. RNAcentral's name for it is "partial 23S ribosomal RNA". It matches the Rfam family "Bacterial large subunit ribosomal RNA", at positions 689 to 1733 of the family's 2925-position model. Lineage: Bacteria; Pseudomonadati; Pseudomonadota; Gammaproteobacteria; Enterobacterales; Enterobacteriaceae. The record is from RNAcentral.
CGGGCGUUAAGUUGCAGGGUAUAGACCCGAAACCCGGUGAUCUAGCCAUGGGCAGGUUGAAGGUUGGGUAACACUAACUGGAGGACCGAACCGACUAAUGUUGAAAAAUUAGCGGAUGACCUGUGGCUGGGGGUGAAAGGCCAAUCAAACCGGGAGAUAGCUGGUUCUCCCCGAAAGCUAUUUAGGUAGCGCCUCGUGAAUUCAUCUCCGGGGGUAGAGCACUGUUUCGGCUAGGGGGCCAUCCCGGCUUACCAACCCGAUGCAAACUGCGAAUACCGGAGAAUGUUAUCACGGGAGACACACGGCGGGUGCUAACGUCCGUCGUGAAGAGGGAAACAACCCAGACCGCCAGCUAAGGUCCCAAAGUCAUGGUUAAGUGGGAAACGAUGUGGGAAGGCCCAGACAGCCAGGAUGUUGGCUUAGAAGCAGCCAUCAUUUAAAGAAAGCGUAAUAGCUCACUGGUCGAGUCGGCCUGCGCGGAAGAUGUAACGGGGCUAAACCAUGCACCGAAGCUGCGGCAGCGACGCUGAUGCGUUGUUGGGUAGGGGAGCGUUCUGUAAGCCUGCGAAGGUGGCCUGUGAGGGUUGCUGGAGGUAUCAGAAGUGCGAAUGCUGACAUAAGUAACGAUAAAGCGGGUGAAAAGCCCGCUCGCCGGAAGACCAAGGGUUCCUGUCCAACGUUAAUCGGGGCAGGGUGAGUCGACCCCUAAGGCGAGGCCGAAAGGCGUAGUCGAUGGGAAACGGGUUAAUAUUCCCGUACUUGGUGUUACUGCGAAGGGGGGACGGAGAAGGCUAUGUUGGCCGGGCGACGGUUGUCCCGGUUUAAGCGUGUAGGUGUGUGUUCCAGGUAAAUCCGGUUCACUUUAACACUGAGGCGUGACGACGAGGCACUACGGUGCUGAAGCAACAAAUGCCCUGCUUCCAGGAAAAGCCUCUAAGCAUCAGGUAACAUCAAAUCGUACCCCAAACCGACACAGGUGGUCAGGUAGAGAAUACCAAGGCGCUUGAGAGAACUCGGGUGAAGGAACUAGGCAAAAUGGUGCCGUAA